GCCCGGCUAGCUCAGUCGGUAGAGCAUGAGACUCUUAAUCUCAGGGUCGGGUUCGAACCCCCACGUUGGGCG
Molecule: transfer RNA, 72 nt
Filed under: Molorchus minor
Lineage: Eukaryota; Metazoa; Arthropoda; Insecta; Coleoptera; Cerambycidae
Description: tRNA-OTHER
Rfam family: tRNA
About the family: Transfer RNA (tRNA) molecules are approximately 80 nucleotides in length.
Source: RNAcentral